RNAcentral lists this ribosomal RNA (465 nucleotides) under uncultured bacterium. RNAcentral describes it as "partial 16S ribosomal RNA". It matches the Rfam family "Bacterial small subunit ribosomal RNA", at positions 338 to 795 of the family's 1533-position model. The record is from RNAcentral.
CCUACGGGGUGCAGCAGUAGGGAAUCUUCCACAAUGGGCGAGAGCCUGAUGGAGCAACGCCGCGUGGGUGAAGAAUGUCUUCGGAUCGUAAAACCCUGUUGUUAGAGAAGAAAGUGCGUGAGAGUAACCGUUCACGCUUCGACGGUAUCUAACAAGAAAGCCACGGUUCACUACGUGCCAGCAGCUGCGGGAAUACGUAGGUGGCAAGCGUUAUCCGGAUUUAUUGGGCGUAAAGGGACCGCAGGUGGUCUUUUAAGUCUGUUGUGAAAGUCUGCGGCAUAACCGGAGUAGUGCAUUGGAAACGGGGAGACUUGAGUGCAGAUGAGGUAGGUGGAACUCGAGGUGUAGCGGUGAAAUGCGUAGAUAUAUGGAAGAACACCAGUGGCGAAAGCAGCUCUCUGGUCUGUAACUGACGCUGAGGUUCGAAAGUGUGGGUAGCAAACAGGAUUAGAUACCCUGGUAGUC